GUUUCAAUUCCUUGUAGGUAGGCUCAAAAC
Non-coding RNA from Thermodesulfobacterium commune DSM 2178, 30 nucleotides. NCBI's taxonomy places the organism in Bacteria, Pseudomonadati, Thermodesulfobacteriota, Thermodesulfobacteria, Thermodesulfobacteriales, Thermodesulfobacteriaceae. The record is from Rfam.